Lolium rigidum is the source of this 98-nucleotide small nucleolar RNA. RefSeq annotates it as small nucleolar RNA snoR31/Z110/Z27. The transcript has a single exon. Lineage: Eukaryota; Viridiplantae; Streptophyta; Magnoliopsida; Poales; Poaceae. The record is from RefSeq and is a predicted model, not a curated record.
AGUAUCAAGUGAUGAAACCACAAAAUAAUCUUAGUAUACGGUUUAGACACAGUGUUUUUAGCCUAUGAAUGAGAAGUCAUCUAGUUCCCGAUGAUAAU